This 3244-nucleotide long non-coding RNA is filed under the name Pan troglodytes (chimpanzee). RNAcentral describes it as "long non-coding RNA NONPTRT014752". Lineage: Eukaryota; Metazoa; Chordata; Mammalia; Primates; Hominidae. The record is from RNAcentral.
CUUAGCGCAGUUCAAGUUACUUAGUGCGCUGGAAGCGGCAUUUCAGGCAAUCCAGCUUCUGGCUCGAACCUUCUCGGAGUAUUCCAAGGAUGGAAUACUCUCACUUGAGCGCUGCCGAGGGUGCCGCUUGAGGAAAACGUGAGUUUGUGAAGGGAACCGUGGCGGGGAAGUCUGGUUUCCGUCCUGCUGCUUUCCUUCAACUACAAGAUGGCUUCUCAAAAGGACGCAUGCAAUGCCAUUCCUCAAAGACAAAUGUUUAUUGCAGAUACAGUUCCACCACUGUACAUUAAGUAUGUGGAAAACAGAAGAUAUCCUUUUGGUUCCUGGGUCUCCAGAACAGUAGGAGCAAACAUCCAAAUCUGAUAUAGCACUUCCAGAGAGCCUGGUCUUGGAGGAUAAAACUUUACCUUGAUGGGACUUUUGGCCCCGGUCCCUUAAGAGUCACUGUGUUCCAUGUGUAUAAAGGGAAAAAAAAAAAAAAAACUAUUUGGUGACCAGAAGGGUGGAUUGUGGUAGAGACUUCUCUUAAAUUCACAUAUCCCAUUCUCCUUUUUUUGUAAGCCCAUGGGAGACUCUUUCCUACCCAUCUUUCCUUGCAUUUAGGCAGGGUCAUGUGAUUACUGCUGGCCAAUGAGUUGUCAGAGACACAUCCAAGAUGAAUAACUUAAUUGCUGGUGCAAGAUCUUUUAAUGCUGUAUUCUUCUGCCACAAUGGGGAGACCUCAUAUUGAAAUGGUACAGUCACAGACUGAAUCAGCUUGGAUUACCAGAAUCGCCAGUUGGAGAUCAGUUGCCUUUGCAGAUUGUGCAGACUCACAGUGAACUUCGGAUGUGCCAGAAAUAACUUUUGUGUUAAGUCACUGGGAUUUGGGGUUGUACUGCAGCACAACUCAGCCUAUCCUAAUACAUAUGGGAAUGCAAACAUCUCAGAUAUUUCUUCUUGGGUGCAAUUUAAAAUACGUAUGAAAUGGCUUCAGAAGUGUCCAUGAACCUUCAAAAUUACAUACAAGAAUUAGGGAGAUACAUUUUUCUGGGAACAUACAGAUGUUAAGACUUCCCUUCUCCGUCUCUAUAUUGCCAGAAGAGAGGGCCCCAGAAUUAAAACCCCAUCCUUCCUACAACACUCAGCUUUCUCUUUCAGGAAUAUCAGUACUAAUAUCACCAUGCCUUUUAUCUCUAGGAUAUCUUCAUCCCCUGUACCUUAAUUUCUGCAUGACUUCAUAGGGAGUCCAUAUUGCUUGAUUUUUCUCCAUAUCAUUAUCAUUGACAUAAAUUUUCCUUACAUUCUUAGAAUGUGUAUUUCCUCACCUUUUAGAUUUCUGGCUCUUAUGUUGACUGCUGUAUGCCUAGUACCUACCACACAACAGGUAUUCAACAAAUACUUUUUUUUUUUGAGACAGUCUCUGUCACCCAGGCUGGAGUGCAGUGGUACUAUCUUGGCUCACUGCAACCUCUGCCUCCCGGGUUCAAGCGAUUCUCCUGCCUCAGCCUCCCAAGUAGCAGGGAUUACAGCCCUGUGCCACCACGCCCAGCUAAUUUUUGUAUUUUUAGUAGAGAUGGGUUUUUGUCAUGUUGGCCAGGCUGGUCUCGAACUCCUGGUCUCAGGUGAUCUGCCCACUUUGGCCACCCAAAGUGCUGGGAUUACAGGCAUGAGCCACUGUGCCUGGCCUAACAAACACUUACUAAAUGACUAAACAAAUAAAAGAUAGUCUCUAACUUUCAUCAUAAUCUCAAAAGAGCUUCAUGACCUGGAAGAAGUUUAGACACAAAUGGGUAGGCAAAGUAUUUCUUAAUUGCUGGUGCAAGACCUUACCCUUGUCUUAAUAAUUAUCCUGUCUAAGUAAUACACCUUUUAAGAAACCCCUGAAAGGAAGAUGAUCGUCCUUGGUAGAUACUGAAAUCUGAGGUAAAGUGGCCCAUAAACUGUUGUGAAAUAGAGAAUUUCUAAAACAUGUAGGGUAUUUUGAAUAUAGCUGAGAAAGCUGCUAUAAACUGAAGGUUUACGUCCCCUACAACAUUCACAAAUCCCAAAUGUGAUGGUAUUUGGAGAUAGGGCCUUUGAGAAGUGAUUAGGUCAUGAGGAUGGAACCCUCAUGAAUGGGCUGCAUGAAAAAGGACCCACAGAGAUGCCUUGUACUUUUCCCAUGUGAGGACACAGCAAGAAAGCACUGUCUUUAUGAACAGAAGUGGGCCCUCACCAGACCCCAAGUCUACUGGCACCUUGAUCUUGAAGUUCCCAGCUCCCAGAACUGUGAGAAAUAAAUUUUUGUUAAUACACCACAUAGUUUAUGGUAUUUUAUUAUAGCAGCCUGAGUGGACUAAGACAUAAGCAAAUGCAUUGUUGAUAAAACAUUCUGUCAAUAACGUAAACUGUGAAAAUUCCAGGACCAAUCUUGUAACAUGAGAUAAAUAAGAAUAUUUAUUAUGCAUGUUUUAUACAGUAACACCAAAAUAACGCUCAAUAAGUUACACAGCUGUUUUCUAGAAACAUGGCAAAAGAAAAAAAAAACAGUAGGAAUAAUAUGUAUUACUCAAAAUUGAAAAUAUGGUCUUCUUUUAAACAGAUUUGAAUUCAUGAUUUCUACAUAAACAAAAACAUCAUAAAUAUCUAGAAAUAAUCUUUUUUAACAAUGCACUAGAUACUAUCUAAAGGCUCAAUUUUAUUGCACAUAUUUGGUUUAGGCUUAUUUGAUCAAUACAUGCAGAAAAAUAAAUUACAAACGUGAAUUUUUAAAAGGAAUCAGGAUGUCAUUUUGUACUACAAAAAUUAGAUGAGGGUUGAUACAUUUCACAGCUUAAUCUUCAGAAAAUUUUCUUCAGCUAUUGCAUAAAAUCACUGAUUAAAAUCAUCACACAUGGAAGCUAAGAACUAUUAAAUACAGUAAAAUAGCUCUGUUGGUACAUUUAAAAUAAGAGAACAGGCAUCAACUAUUCUUUGAAUUGAUACCAACUGUCUUCUUUUUAUUUAUUUUUGAGACAGGGUCUCACUCCGUCACUCUGCAGGAAUGCAGUGGUGUGAUCAUGGUUCACUGCACCUUGACCUCCUGGGCUCAAGCAUCUUCCCCACUCAGCCUCCCAACAGCAUGAGCCACCAUGCCUGGCUAACAAAUUGAUACCAACUAUCACUCUUCUCAGCUAACUAAAAAGGUGGUCUUCACAAGUUUUAAGAACAUUAAAUGACAAUAUUGGCACAAUCAAUAUUUUAUCAUUUUAUAUUUGGAAAAAAACGGGAAGCUGGGGUAAAC